RNAcentral lists this ribosomal RNA (385 nucleotides) under uncultured bacterium. RNAcentral's name for it is "bacterial SSU rRNA". It matches the Rfam family "Bacterial small subunit ribosomal RNA", at positions 975 to 1375 of the family's 1533-position model. The record is from RNAcentral.
CUGGGUUUGACAUAUACGUAGUAGGGAACUGAAAAGGGACCGACCUUCGGGAGCGUAUACAGGUGCUGCAUGGCUGUCGUCAGCUCGUGCCGUGAGGUGUUCGGUUAAGUCCGCAAACGAGCGCAACCCCUGGUGCUAGUUACACGUGUCUAGCGCAACUGCCCGUGAGAAACGGGAGGAAGGUGGGGAUGACGUCAAGUCAGCAUGGCCUUUAUAUCCAGGGCUACACACACGCUACAAUGGGCGGUACAAUGGGUCGCGAAGUCGCGAGAUGGAGCCAAUCCUGAAAGCCGUUCGUAGUUCGGAUUGCAGGCUGCAACUCGCCUGCAUGAAGUCGGAGUUGCUAGUAACCGCAGGUCAGCUAUACUGCGGUGAAUACGUUCCC